Molecule: ribosomal RNA, 253 nt
Filed under: uncultured bacterium
Lineage: Bacteria
Description: partial 16S ribosomal RNA
Rfam family: Bacterial small subunit ribosomal RNA
Source: RNAcentral
CACGGAGGGUGCAAGCGUUAUCCGGAUUCACUGGGUUUAAAGGGUGCGUAGGUGGCGCCGUAAGUCAGGUGUGAAAUUUCGGAGCUUAACUCCGAAACUGCAUUUGAUACUGCGGUGCUUGAGGACUGGAGAGGAGACUGGAAUUUACGGUGUAGCAGUGAAAUGCGUAGAGAUCGUAAGGAAGACCAGUGGCGAAGGCGGGUCUCUGGACAGUUCCUGACACUGAGGCACGAAGGCCAGGGGAGCAAACGGG